UACAGAGACUGCAAGCGUUAUUCGGAUUCACUGGGCGUAAAGGGUGCGCAGGCGGCCAAGUGUGUGAGGCGUGAAAGCCUGGGCUUAACUCCAGAAUUGCACCUCAAACUACAUGGCUAGAGCAUUGGAGAGGGUAGCAGAAUUCACGGUGUAGCAGUGAAAUGCGUAGAUAUCGUGAGGAAUACCAGAGGCGAAGGCGGCUACCUGGACAAUUGCUGACGCUCAGGCCCGAAAGCGUGGGGAGCAAAAGGG
This 252-nucleotide ribosomal RNA is filed under the name uncultured bacterium. RNAcentral describes it as "partial 16S ribosomal RNA". It matches the Rfam family "Bacterial small subunit ribosomal RNA", at positions 524 to 776 of the family's 1533-position model. The record is from RNAcentral.